GAAACAAGAAGCUUGGGACAAAUUCCAGUGGAAGAGUCUCUAUUUUGAGACUACUAAGCUUUCUGACC
RNAcentral lists this non-coding RNA (68 nucleotides) under unclassified sequences. RNAcentral describes it as "DUF3800-II RNA". It matches the Rfam family "DUF3800-II RNA". The record is from Rfam by way of RNAcentral.